RNAcentral lists this ribosomal RNA (69 nucleotides) under Grimontia sedimenti. RNAcentral describes it as "Grimontia sp. S25 partial 16S ribosomal RNA". It matches the Rfam family "Bacterial small subunit ribosomal RNA", at positions 1469 to 1533 of the family's 1533-position model. The record is from RNAcentral. Lineage: Bacteria; Pseudomonadati; Pseudomonadota; Gammaproteobacteria; Vibrionales; Vibrionaceae.
UCAUGACUGGGGUGAAGUCGUAACAAGGUAGCCCUAGGGGAACCUGGGGCUGGAUCACCUCCUUAACGA